GGGGACUUUAAUCAAAUUUUGCAAGCUCAUGAGAAAGAUGGGGGAGCGGCACGCCCCCAACGAUGUAUGCAGGCUUUUAGCAGCGCGCUGAGCGAUUGUGGGCUUGACGAUCUCGGUUAUUUGGGCGACAUCUUCAGCUCGCGUAGAGGCCGAAUUCGGGAACGACUUGAUAGAGCUGUAUCGAGUAGCUCUUGGGCUGAUCUAUUCCCAGCCUAUGGCGUCUCUAAUGAACCGUUUAAUAAAUCAGAUCACCGGCCGAUCCUAAUUGAUAUUGAUUUCCAUCAAGGAUUACAUCCAAGGGGUCCGCUGGGACCGAGGAAAUUUGAAGCGAGGUGGCUUGCGGAGGAAGAUGUGGAGGUGAUAGUCCAAGCGGCCUGGGAUAGAGCAAAAGCUAGGGGGACCGGGCCCUACUCACAAGUGAGAGGGGAGAUACAUGCAGCCUUGCACACUUGGGAUAAAGAGACUCUAAAAGGCCCGUGA
This 480-nucleotide ribosomal RNA is filed under the name Triticum aestivum (bread wheat). RNAcentral describes it as "partial small subunit ribosomal RNA". Lineage: Eukaryota; Viridiplantae; Streptophyta; Magnoliopsida; Poales; Poaceae. The record is from RNAcentral.